Non-coding RNA from Oncorhynchus mykiss (rainbow trout), 564 nucleotides. The record is from RefSeq and is a predicted model, not a curated record. NCBI's taxonomy places the organism in Eukaryota, Metazoa, Chordata, Actinopteri, Salmoniformes, Salmonidae.
UGUUUACUUACCGGUAACAUAUAUUUAUUGGAGGUGCAGGUCUGUUCCAGUGCAGUAUAACAGGCCUGGUGUUUAGGAUGGAGGGAGAAGGAGAGGUGCUCUAUAGGACAGUCCCCUGGGACAGGAGGCUUCUAUCCCAGAGAAGCAAGAGACCUGCAGGACCCCUGUUCAUGUUUAGAUGCCUUAAGGGGUCUGUCAGUCAACUACACCUCCCACACUGUCAGAUGCAAUCUGGUGGUGGAUGUGACUUCCUGUCUGUAGCCCAUGUGACUGAUGACUGAGUUUAUCCCUCCUCUUGACACAACAGACACACAUGUCAUAAUAUACAUCACUGGAUUCUGUCUCGGUGCGGGAGGUGAUUGAAAGGGAUGGAAUUAGAGAAAUUCAAACAACUUCUCAGUGUAAACUAACCCCGAAGCAAGAAUACACCCUCUCCACUUAUUCUGCAGAUGGACAUCGAAUACAACCAAACGCAAAUCUGGGAUAUUUUUGAAUAACAAUUUUUUAUAUUCCUAUGUAACUUUUCAUUUCAUUCUCACUUUUAAUUUCACUGACUACAAAGGU